This 411-nucleotide long non-coding RNA is filed under the name Homo sapiens (human). Its description in RNAcentral is "non-protein coding lnc-ACTR2-6:1". The record is from RNAcentral. Lineage: Eukaryota; Metazoa; Chordata; Mammalia; Primates; Hominidae.
CAGAAUAAAAAAGGGACUGAGAAAGGAACUAGCAUUUUUGGGGCACCUGCUGCGUAUCCCACUGUAACUAAAGCAUAUCAUUUAACCUUCACGCCAGCUGAGGGUAGGUAUUAUCCCACUUGUUAAAUCUGAGAAAACUCAGAAAGGUGAAGUCACUUGCCCAAGAACUAAUGGCUAGUAAUGGCAGAAAGGCUGUCCAGUGACCUUUAUGGAGUUAGGUGUAGUCGGUCCUCUGUAUCCAUGUUUUCUGCAUCUGUGGAUUCAACCAACCUCACAUCGAAAAUAUAUUCAUUUAGGCUGGGCAUGGUGGUUCACACCUGUAAUCCCAACACUUUGGGAGGCCAAGGUGGGUGGAUCAGCUGAGGUCAGGAGUUUGAGACCAGCCUGACUGACCAACAUGGUGAAACCCUG